AAAUUGAAGAGUUUGAUCAUGGCUCAGAUUGAACGCUGGCGGCAGGCCUAACACAUGCAAGUCGAACGGUAACAGGAAACAGCUUGCUGUUUCGCUGACGAGUGGCGGACGGGUGAGUAAUGUCUGGGAAACUGCCUGAUGGAGGGGGAUAACUACUGGAAACGGUAGCUAAUACCGCAUAACGUCGCAAGACCAAAGAGGGGGACCCUCGGGCCUCUUGCCAUCGGAUGUGC
RNAcentral lists this ribosomal RNA (233 nucleotides) under Escherichia coli. Its description in RNAcentral is "partial 16S ribosomal RNA". It matches the Rfam family "Bacterial small subunit ribosomal RNA", at positions 1 to 230 of the family's 1533-position model. Lineage: Bacteria; Pseudomonadati; Pseudomonadota; Gammaproteobacteria; Enterobacterales; Enterobacteriaceae. The record is from RNAcentral.